AUUCACGACAUGACUUGACGUGCCCAGCUACCGCUGUCUUGGCCCGCUCACCGCUUUAUUCCCCCAAUCGAGGCCUUUACUCUCGUGCUUUCCAUCAGAUAGCUCUCUGGGUUCUUCCACCCUCCUCUUCCCUUCCGCCAUGAACGAGGACACAUCCGGCAUGGUUUUGGAUCUCGAAGAUCCUGCUAGUCGCUACAAUAGACCGGGGGAAAUCACUACCGCCGGGGCGGAGCAGAGAAUCCACUGCUGGAGGUUCUGAAAAGGAGGCGGGGGCAGGUCUUGGGCGCUCAUCGGCACUGUCAGCCGGGGCGGAGCAGAGCAACCCGGGCGCAGGAGGUGCUGAAAAGGAGGCAUCGGCCGGUCUUGGGAGCUCAUCGGCACUCUCGGUCGUGUGCAUCUCGGCCGGAAAUUCCAGUAACGAAGCCCCCGUUCCCCUUCUGAGUCGGAAUCCGUUGAUCCGGAAAGACUUGCCUGGUGGUUAUGAGUAAAACAAAUUUUCUAGCUAUAUAUGCUAAUGAAUUGGUCAAAGUGUAUAGAUGUAUAUGUAGGUUUUGUACCUUUGUUGGGCUGUGCUCACUAUGUAUCAGAAUUAAUUGUAGGUUCCUAAACCAUUUAACUCAAUAGCCUUUCCAUUGCCAAUUUGCUGUGCAGCAUGUUGUAAAAUAUAAGUUGUAUAAUUUAAAUCCUUCAGUCUUCUACAUUUUCA
Triticum aestivum (bread wheat) is the source of this 706-nucleotide long non-coding RNA. RefSeq lists it as uncharacterized. The record is from RefSeq and is a predicted model, not a curated record. Lineage: Eukaryota; Viridiplantae; Streptophyta; Magnoliopsida; Poales; Poaceae. The transcript is spliced from 2 exons.